CGGGGUGCAGCAGGCGCGAAAACUCUACAAUGCAGGCAACUGCCAUAGGGGAACAUCGAGUGGCGUCCAUAUUGGAUGUCUGUCCUCCCGCCUAAAAAGCGGGAGUUAGCAAGGGCCGGGCAAUACCGGUGCCAGCCGCCGCGGUAACACCGGCGGCCCGAGUGGUCAUCAUGAUUAUUGGGUCUAAAGGGUCCGUAGCCGGUUUGGUCAGUCCUCCGGGAAAUGUUACGGCUCAACCGUUAGGCUUUCGGGGGAUACCGCCAGGCUCGGAACCCGUAGAGGUGAGAGGUACUACAGGGGUAGGAGUGAAAUCUUGUAAUCCCUGUGAGACCACCUGUGGCGAAGGCGUCUUACCAGAACGGGUUAGACGGUGAGGGACGAAAGCUGGGGGCACGAACCGGAUUAGAUACCCGGGUAGUCCCAGCCGUAAACGAUGCUCGCUAGGUGUCAGGCAUGGCGCGACCGUGUCUGGUGCCGCAGGGAAGCCGUGAAGCGAACCGCCUGGGAAGUACGGCCGCAAGGCUGAAACUUAAAGGAAUUGGCGGGCGAGCACAAGGGCGAAUUCGC
Molecule: ribosomal RNA, 567 nt
Filed under: uncultured archaeon
Lineage: Archaea
Description: bacterial SSU rRNA
Rfam family: Archaeal small subunit ribosomal RNA
Source: RNAcentral